AUGCAGCAAGUUCAGUUUGGAGGAAGUGGAUCAUCUACUGGAGGAAGUGUGCAGAACAGCCAGCCGGAUUCUAGUAAGAAUAAGAAAAAGAAGAACCAAAAGAUCAAGCAGGCAGAUGCUGCUACUACUAGUGAUGAAUCCUCCUCCUUUAAUGUUGAUCCUAAGUUCAUAGGGGCAAUUUGCUACAACUGUGGUCUCCCAGGACACUUUGUGGGCAUGUGCCCCAUCCCAAAAGUGUGUUUCAUCUGCAAGACCCCUGGCCACCACAUGGAUACAUGUCCUACCUGGUACAGAGCCUACCCUGCUGCCAUGUACUGUGGGGAGUGCUAA
RNAcentral lists this ribosomal RNA (330 nucleotides) under Triticum aestivum (bread wheat). Its description in RNAcentral is "partial small subunit ribosomal RNA". The record is from RNAcentral. Lineage: Eukaryota; Viridiplantae; Streptophyta; Magnoliopsida; Poales; Poaceae.